UGGACAGGUGGUGCAUGGUUGUCGUCAGCUCGUGUCGUGAGAUGUUGGGUUAAGUCCCGCAACGAGCGCAACCCUCGACCUUAGUUGCCAGCAUUCAGUUGAGCACUCUAAGGUGACUGCCGGCUAAAAGUCGGAGGAAGGUGGGGAUGACGUCAAAUCAUCAUGCCCCUUAUGACCUGGGCUACACACGUGCUACAAUGGGCGGUACAAAGGGUCGCGAGCCCGCGAGGGGGAGCCAAUCCCAAAAAGCCGCUCUCAGUUCGGAUUGCAGGCUGCAACUCGCCUGCAUGAAGCCGGAAUCGCUAGUAAUCGCGGAUCAGCAUGCCGCGGUGAAUACGUUCCCGGGCCUU
This 350-nucleotide ribosomal RNA is filed under the name uncultured Anoxybacillus sp. RNAcentral's name for it is "bacterial SSU rRNA". It matches the Rfam family "Bacterial small subunit ribosomal RNA", at positions 1031 to 1382 of the family's 1533-position model. The record is from RNAcentral. Lineage: Bacteria; Bacillati; Bacillota; Bacilli; Caryophanales; Anoxybacillaceae.